AGCAGGGCGCUCUGGGCCUAGCUCAGAGGACAUGCUCCUGAGGCUAGCUAUUUUUCUGCUACUACUCUGGCUAAGAGAGACAUGUAAGGGCUGGAUGUAAACUCCCAGAGGGCACCUCCUGGGCUAGAGAAGAUGCAGCAUGAGCUCAGGAAUUCAACACAACACGAAAUAAUCAACAAAUUCGGGGAAUGUUAAUCUGACCAUCACCAGUUACAAAUGAUGUUUCAUGCUACCUUCUAUUCCUGCCUUCAUAAAUCAAGGAAAAGAAAAAGAGAACAUAUAUCCCCCUACCUUUUGAUUUCCAACAGUCUACUGAGAGGCCAAGAUUAUUUGCAGGGAAAGAAAAGGGGUCAAAAUGUUUUGCCAGUAACUCCCAAAUCAUCUACAGCCAAGGAGAAAAGUGUUUCAAGACAGAGGUGCUCAAUGGUAUCAAAUACUGCCAACAGACCAAGUAAUACAUGCAUUGAAGUGUCUACUGGAUCUAGCUAUAUGAUUCCACAGCUGUUUUAUAGUAACUCAGAGUUUGAAGAGAAAUUACUCCUGCAGUACCAGUUUCCAAAAUGCUUUGUAGCAUCUUCUCAAAAAACAAAUGGGAAGAAGCCAAUCAGAAAUAAGGAAUUUUUAAUUUAGGACACUUAGGCCAUACUGAAGCAAGGUGACAAAAUGAAUAGCUACAAUGUCUCGUGAAUCUUGGGUUUCCAUUCACCCUGGUAUUCAAGAGAAAUUCUUGCAUCAUGGAAGUUGCAGUUGGAUAGGACUUUCUCAGCUGAACACUGUCAUCUGCCAGAGCUUCAGGCAAGAACCCAGAACAGAUGAAACCCCAGACAUGACAAAAUAAGCCAAAGAAUACCAGGCCAAGGUGUGAAAGGCCAGAUGAGAACAAGCAGCGUACACGAUUCUGUUGCCAACAGAUCUCCCCUAACAGUGUCGUGCACCAAAUUUCCACAGUGAAUGUCAGGAAAAAAUGGCAAUUGAGGUGGGUGGUCAAAAGAGAAGCACAGUCUAUGAUGAAGUCACCCCAGAGAAGUCCUUUUUCCGUUUUCUCCUGAGAAAUUACCAGAAGAAAUUAAAAUCCU
Molecule: long non-coding RNA, 1076 nt
Filed under: Homo sapiens (human)
Lineage: Eukaryota; Metazoa; Chordata; Mammalia; Primates; Hominidae
Description: HSALNT0356415
Source: RNAcentral